Long non-coding RNA from Homo sapiens (human), 2718 nucleotides. RefSeq lists it as uncharacterized. NCBI's taxonomy places the organism in Eukaryota, Metazoa, Chordata, Mammalia, Primates, Hominidae. The transcript is spliced from 2 exons. The record is from RefSeq and is a predicted model, not a curated record.
AAGCGUUUCCAACUCGCCGAAUCAUUACUAGUGCAGGCAUUUUAUUCUAAGCUGCUUUUUACUAAAACGUGCUCUUGUCGCUCUGAACCUUUAGGACUACAAUACCCAGAAGUCUCUGGGAGUCGCCGAGCCCUGUAGUUUAGGGUUGUUUUGCGGCCAGCGAGACGCCGGAAGUCUGGGAAUAAGGCGGGACCAGGGAAAAAGCAGGAUUCCGAUUGGUGAAGAGGCCACAUGGCCUUCUUUAAAGGACGGGAUAGAGUUGCACACGCGCAUUGAGGCGUGUCUUCCCUGGUUCUGCGUCCGUGAAGCCUAGAGAUUCCCGAGCCUGGGUCACCCGGGCGGUGUCGCAUGUCGUCUGCGGGGAGGUUGGGGCUGCUCGCGCGAGGCGCUCUGGGUCUCAUUUCCGAGGCCGAAAAUGCUGGCUCCAAAGUGGUGCCCUGGGAGAUGAGGGCGACUCGCAGAUUCCACCCUAUUCUCUGAAUGGGCUUCGAGUCUCCAUGGUGGUGGUUGUGAGAAUUAAGGGAACCUCAGAGCAAUGGCCAGCACACAAUGACCCUUCAAAUGUCAGCGGCUUUGAUGAUCACCAUUCUUACCUUUUCUUUGGAGAUUUGGACAAGUUACCGCCCCACCUUCCUCCAGGGUCUUUGUGUAUUGAUCUGCAGGUUGGAUGUAUUGGAUGUUACGACCACUAAACUUUCUUCUGAGCACACACGAGCAGUGGUGUUGUUCUCUCUGAGAAAUACUACAGGCUUUGGUGUUAAGACACUGGAAUUCCGGAAACCUGUCCCUGUCAUACCAGUUGCUGUGUGACCUCCGUCAAUCAUGGUUCUUUACUGAGCCCUGAGACUCCGCACGUGAAAAUGGAUGGGGAUGAACUUCCAGUCCAGGCAGUGCCACUGACUUUGCUUGGGGACCUGGGGCAAGCUCUGUGGCCCAGCAUUGCACCAUCUGUAACAACAUAACCAAGGGGUGCGCAAUUGAGCUUUGAGGUUAAUUUCGGUGCUAAAAUCCCGGUCAGUAGUUCCGUCAUCUUCACAGACCUCACCCUACCCAAUGCCCUUAUUGUGCUCCACAUCCCAAUCAACACUUACUGAUUCCAGAUUUGUAAUUUUUGCCAUUGUAGUGAGAAGUAAUUAACUAUUUUAUGGUUUUUUAAAUUUGAAUUUUUGACUAUCAGGAUUAGCAUAUUUUUUUUUUCUUCGUUAAAGACUAGUCAAGUGCAUUAGUGAGGAGGGGGGAAAGAGUAGACCAAGGAAUUUGGUCUGUAACUGACUGUGGACAAUACAUUGGUAGAACUCACUACCUUUGAGCCAGCCAGAAUCUUUUUAUUAUUCACUGGAUAUUCAGGUUUUGCCUCUGUAAAUUUUCUUUCAUUGCCAUUUUUUUCAAAUAGUUCAUUCAAUCUUUGUUUUCAGAUGUGCUUUCCACAAUCAGGUUACAAAUUCUCUGCCACUAAUGAUCAUUACAAUUCCUCUUCUCAGCCUGUUUAUUGUUUGGUCUGUUUAUGGUUUCUCAGGCUUCUUAUUUAUUUAUUUAGACAGAGUCAUGCUCUGUUUUCCAGGCUAGAGUGCAGUGGUGUGAUCUUGGCUCACUGUAGCCUUGACCUCCUGGGCUUAAGCAAUCCUCCCACCUCCGCCACCUGAGUAGCUGGGACUACAGGCGCAUGCCACCACCUGCAGCUAAUUUCUGUAUAUUUUGUAGAGAUGGGGUUUUGCCACAUUGCCCAGGCUGGUCUCGAACUCCUGGGCUCAAGCGAUCCAGCCGCCUUGGCCUCCAGAGUGCUGGGAUUACAGGUGUGAGCCACCAUGCCUGGACUAGGCUUCUUUAAACAUUGAAUAGUGUUCCUUUCUAGAUGAAGGAGGAUCACAUAGCACUUGGGAGCAAAGAUGCAGCCAAGUAACCCAGUGCUGGAGCCCACGAUGGAGAAGAUCUCACGGCCACUCUGGCCUUGCCCUGGGUGCUUUAGUAACUCGGGAGGAAGGCCACCCAGACACUGCAGGACACCAGCAUGCUGAAGGUCAGGAACUUGGCUUCGUUGAAAGCAUCAGGCAGGUUCCUUGCCAGAAAGGCUACAGCAAGGGACCCUAAAACCAAGAAGCCCAAGUAGCCCAAGACAGAGUAGAAGGCAGUGACGGAGCCCUCAUUACACUGGAUAAUGAUGUAGCCAGGCAUGAACUGAGGGUCCUUGUUUACGAAGGGAGGCUCUGUCCCCAGCCAGAUUCCACAGAGGGUCACUUGGGUAAAGGAGCAAAGGAAGACAACAGAAUUUGUUUUUUGGGGACCCAUCCACUUUCGGAUCCUGCUUUCUGGCCUUAUAGCCUGGAAGGCCCUGCAGAAAACACAGCCACUGUGAACACAGCUGCAAAGGUGGUCUGUGAGAGGAGGCAGGUGGCAGGGCUGGGGCGGCCGAUGAAGAGCGAGGAAGAGAGAAAGCAGAGUGUGAGGGAGACAAGGAGGGUGUAGCUCAGAGUCUGGUUGCUGGCCUUGACUAUGGGAGUGUUUUGGUGCCACACAAACUCCACAAGGAUCAGAACAGAGAGGACAGAGUAGAACAAGGCUGUGCAUGCCAGAGUCAGGCCCAAAGUUUCAUCAUAGGCCAGGAAGGUCUCCUAUUUGAGAAGGUAUGUUCCCUUUUCUUGUUUGGAUAAUGAUAUUCAGGACAAAGCCUGCAUUGUUUUAUAUCUGAAAUAAACAAAAAGGGUGUCACUGUCUCCAAAA